This 511-nucleotide unclassified non-coding RNA is filed under the name Leucosporidium sp. B85. RNAcentral describes it as "sequence contains ITS1, 5.8S rRNA gene, ITS2". The stretch from base 144 to 297 matches the Rfam family "5.8S ribosomal RNA". Lineage: Eukaryota; Fungi; Basidiomycota; Microbotryomycetes; Leucosporidiales; Leucosporidiaceae. The record is from RNAcentral.
CGCAUUCUACUUUGUAGAGCGUGACCUCCCACUUCUCUAACUCUGUGCAUUUAUUGGCGGAAGGACUUGAGCAAUCGAGCUUCCUUCUGCGGCUCAUUUUAAAACACUAGUUAAAGUAUGUAACGAAAUAUCGAAACAAAAAAAACUUUCAACAACGGAUCUCUUGGCUUGCUCAUCGAUGAAGAACGCAGCGAAAUGUGAUAAGUAAUGUGAAUUGCAGAAUUCAGUGAAUCAUCGAAUCUUUGAACGCACCUUGCGCUCUCUGGUAUUCCGGAGAGCAUGUCUGUUUGAGUGUCAUGAACUCUUCAACCCACCAGUUUCUUGUAGACUGAAUGGUGUUUGGUUUCUGAGCGUUGCUGGUCUUCGGAUCUAGCUCGUUCGUAAUAUAUUAGCAUCUCUAAUUCGAACUCGGAUUGACUCAGUGUAAUAGACUAUUCGCUGAGGACACGCUCUUGUAGUGUGGCCGAAUGAGAUCUCAGUAGAAGCUUCCAACUACUUUAGUCAACUUUAG